This 253-nucleotide ribosomal RNA is filed under the name uncultured bacterium. RNAcentral's name for it is "partial 16S ribosomal RNA". It matches the Rfam family "Bacterial small subunit ribosomal RNA", at positions 524 to 776 of the family's 1533-position model. The record is from RNAcentral.
UACAGAGGGGGCAAGCGUUGUUCGGAAUUACUGGGCGUAAAGGGCGCGUAGGCGGCCCGCUAAGUCGAACGUGAAAUCCCCGGGCUUAACCCGGGAACUGCGUCCGAUACUGGCAGGCUUGAAUCCGGGAGAGGGAUGUGGAAUUCCAGGUGUAGCGGUGAAAUGCGUAGAUAUCUGGAGGAACACCGGUGGCGAAGGCGGCAUCCUGGACCGGUAUUGACGCUGAGGCGCGAAAGCGUGGGGAGCGAACAGG